This 277-nucleotide ribosomal RNA is filed under the name uncultured bacterium. RNAcentral's name for it is "partial 16S ribosomal RNA". It matches the Rfam family "Bacterial small subunit ribosomal RNA", at positions 28 to 320 of the family's 1533-position model. The record is from RNAcentral.
GACAAACGCUGGCGGAAUGUAUUAGGCAUGCAAGUCGUACGAGCCUUCGGGCUAGUGGCGAACGGGUGAGUAACACGUGGGUAACCUGCCCCGUAGUGGGGAAUAACUCCUCGAAAGGGGAGCUAAUACCGCAUAAGACCCCCGGUGAGAGUCCGGGUGGUGAAAGCUCCGGCGCUACGGGAGGGGCCCGCGGCCGAUUAGCUAGUUGGUGGGGUAAUGGCCUACCAAGGCGACGAUCGGUAGCUGGUCUGAGAGGACGAUCAGCCACACGGGGACU